This is a non-coding RNA of Schizosaccharomyces pombe (fission yeast), 1209 nucleotides long. NCBI's taxonomy places the organism in Eukaryota, Fungi, Ascomycota, Schizosaccharomycetes, Schizosaccharomycetales, Schizosaccharomycetaceae. The record is from the annotation of a GenBank genome assembly.
CAAAAACGGUUAAAAGAUGAAAGGAAUACAUUUCUAAUCAUAGAUACUAGGAAAAGGAUAAAGGUGAUGGCGAAACAAGUCUGUAGAGUUAUGUAACAUUCGACUAAUCAUGCUUUAUUUGGUAAUAUUGGCGGAAUUUAAAUCAUCAUAGGUUAAUCCAUUCUUUGCUGUUCACGUGCUACAGCAUCGGCCAUUUCCUCGUCAUUAUAGAUGUGAAAUCCACCCUCAGCGGUAACUUUGGCAAGUUGAACAUUUUUGGAAUCAAGCUUUUCUUCCAUUACUUGUCGAAGUACUUUGAGAAUCAAUACUUCAGCUUCCUCGAGAGUCAUAUCCUGAACGACAUUGUUAGUUUAACAAAAAAGGAAAAAGAUAAAGCAAAUAAAGUUAAUACGUACUUUGUGAAAUUCCUUCACUAGUUCGCUUUUCGCGGGUUCACUACCUGAACCAAUAGCUUUAGCUUCAUAACGGAAAUAUGUACCUGAAGGCUCAGAGUGGUAUCUGUAUAGGAAGUUAGCAUCUUAACGAAUUACAACAAAAGGAAUCCAAACAAUGGCAGGUGUACGAAGAUAAUCAAAAAACAAAAGCAUUAACACAAUAGCCACAUCGUUCCAUAAAAAUAAAAUAAUUUUGACUUACAGUUGAGGACCAUGCUCAUCUAUUCCAGCAAUUAACAAAGCAACACCAAACGGUCUUGACAUGAUGCGUUCUUCGCCAUCUUCUCCUUCACCAAAGCGAAGUGCGAGAUCACAAAUUGACUGGGUAGUACUUUCUAUACCUUGUGGUUCAUCAUAGGUAAAACGAUGAUUUUGUGUUUGAACUCUAGCAUGUUCAAUAAUUGUACGGGCAUCAGCUGUUAGGCCUGAAAUUGCGCAACCAAUGUGUGAAUCAAUUUCAAACAGCUUUUCAACAGAAUGAGAUUCCAUAAGUGGACUAGUUAAUCUCUUUUCAACACCAAGGACGACGGCAUCCUUAGUUUUCACACCAAUAGCAGUGGAUCCUAAUUUGAUGGCUUCGAUUGCAUAUUCCACUUGAAACAACCGGCCUUCAGGAGAAAAGGUAUUUACUCCUCUAUCAUAUUCUAAAGAUUAGCUUAAGAAACUUGUACAGUUUACUUACCUGAUCUAGUCAUAAACAUUUUUAAAAGAGAACGUGUAAAGUAGUAGUUGCUGACUGACCAAAACCCAGCCAAAUGAUAAUAUCGUUAAUAUU